This 390-nucleotide long non-coding RNA is filed under the name Bos grunniens (domestic yak). Its description in RNAcentral is "lncRNA (ENSBGRG00000012370.1)". Lineage: Eukaryota; Metazoa; Chordata; Mammalia; Artiodactyla; Bovidae. The record is from RNAcentral.
AUGUACGUCGCGCAUCCUGAGACUCAGGAGUGGGGCCGGGGCUGUCGGGCAGCAGAGUGGCCGUGUGGCCAUGCUAACCGCAGUCUCUGCUCUCACCGGGACGCAGGUUCGGGAGCAGCAGCAGCACCACGUCGUUUGGCACCCUUGCCAGUCAGAACGCACCGACUUUUGGAUCGCUGUCCCAGCAGUCUGCUGGGUUUGGGAGCCAGAGCGGGGGAUUCUCAGGCUUCGGAUCAAGCGGAGGAGGAUUCACCUUUGGAUCUUCUAACUCGUCUGUCCAGGGCUUUGGUGGCUGGAGAAGCUGAGUGGGUGUUGGCGCUCCUUUCCGUCUCUGCGACCCAGUGCGUUCUCAGCUCCCCUUCUCUGAGAAACCCUGCAGCAGUCCUCUGA